Molecule: long non-coding RNA, 1385 nt
Filed under: Fragaria vesca (wild strawberry)
Lineage: Eukaryota; Viridiplantae; Streptophyta; Magnoliopsida; Rosales; Rosaceae
Description: long non-coding RNA (FVES_LNC004861)
Source: RNAcentral
AAUCGUGUAGGUAAAAAAUGGUGAUUAUAGAUCAUUACAUAAAGAAAUACUUGAGACACCAAAAAGCUAUCCCAAAUAUUAAUACUAAAUAAUGUGGCACUUGUCAUAUCAUCAAUUUUCCUACUAAUUAAGUGAUGAUAUAGAUAUCAUAGUAUUUGUACCUAACGAAAAAUGAAUAAAAAGAUAAGAAUGCAUUUGUACCUAAAGAAAAAUUAAUAAAAAUUUAAGAAUAUAUCCUAAAUUUCUUCUUUAAUAGAAAAAAAAUAUACUAUCUUAUUUUUUUAAGUUGUUGAGCAUUGUUACGAAUUCUACAGUAUUCCUCAUGGAAGCCAAUUAAAGCCGUUAAAAUUACCAGAAUUUUGUUUCUCUUUCCCAUACUCAUCUCUCUUCACAAAACUAUUCUUCUAACAUUUGAACCGAAAGAUUGAAUUAAAGAAUAAUAUAUAUGAUUCUUAUUUUGAUAUAUUUAUACUGCAAUUCAUUUCGUUUUGUCAUUGUCAACUUAUAAUUAAAAUUUUGUCAUUGUUAAGUUAUAUACAAAGAUAAAAAGAAGCUAUCUCAACAUAAAGAAAUAAUCACUAGACCAACAAUAUGUCUGACACGACCCACCCCGAGUUUCACCCUGAAACCCAGAGUAAGUCGUGCGGGGACCACCUCCAAGGAAAAUUUACUGAAAAGAUUAAGAAAAUCUCCCUUGCAGAUGGACAACCCUAAUUCGAAAAUUUCAUAUUACACUCUUAAUUUAACGCUUCUAAAUAUCACAUAAUAUACAAAAAUUCUAAAGUAUUCAGAGCUACUAAACACAAGCGGAAGCAAGAAAACACAAGUAGGUUGAACAGGUAACCUACUGAUGAAAACUGGCCGAAAAGCGGGUGACUAUGCCUCGUCUCCUACUAGAUCCAACCCGAACUCUGCAGACUGGGCAAUUUAAAACGAAGGGCCCAGGGGAAAACAUUUAAUAACGUUAGAGUGAGUGGACAAAAAUAAAUUAAUAAUUAAAUAUUAUGUUUCCCAAAAUUAAUUUCUAAGGAAAAAUCGAAUGCCUGCCGCAAGCGAUAAAACCUUUAUCCCAUAAAAUAUCGAGCCUCUCAGACUCUAUAAUAUAUGUAUGUAUUUACACUCGUCCAUACUCCCUAUAUAAAUUCAUGGGUCUAUAUAGGGCUACUACGCCCGCGUCCAACGCUCACGUCACGCCUUAAUGCGGUGCUACACUACGCCAUCAAGGUGGACAGACGGGUGUAUAAAUAUGUGCCCAUACCCCCUAUAUUGAAUUAAACACUCAUAUAGGGCUACUACGCUUACGUCCAACGCUCACGUCACACCAUAAUGCGGCUAUAUGGCUACGCCAUUAAGGUGGACAGACACAUAUGGCUAGCUAGCAUUUU